UGGGGAAUUUUGCACAAUGGAGGGAACUCUGAUGCAGCGACGCCGCGUUAGUGAUGAAGGAAUUCGUUUCGUAAAACUCUGUUCUAUGGGAAGAAAAGGACUGUACCAUAGGAGAAAGCUCCGGCUAAAUACGUGCCAGCAGCCGCGGUAAUACGUAUGGAGCGAGCGUUGUCCGGAAUUAUUGGGCGUAAAGGGUGCGCAGGCGGCUUUACAAGUUGGAUGUGAAAUAUUGUGGCUCAACCACAAACGUGCAUCCAAAACUGCAAAGCUUGAGUUAAGGAGGGGUAAGGGGAAUUCCUGGUGUAGCGGUGGAAAGCGUAGAUAUCAGGAGGAAUACCGGUGGCGAAGGCGACUUACUGGACUUAAACUGGCGCUCAGGCACGAAAGCGUGGGGAGCAAACAGG
RNAcentral lists this ribosomal RNA (404 nucleotides) under Fusobacteriota bacterium. RNAcentral describes it as "Fusobacteria bacterium partial 16S ribosomal RNA". It matches the Rfam family "Bacterial small subunit ribosomal RNA", at positions 355 to 776 of the family's 1533-position model. Lineage: Bacteria; Fusobacteriati; Fusobacteriota. The record is from RNAcentral.